CCACCACCUCAAAAUCCUAAGGGCACCAAGCAAUCAUCUUUCCAAAGAGGUCUAUAUUUUCAGACAUGACGUGUGUUACUGAUUGUGGAACAAAAUCCACUGUAUAAUUUCUGCGGUUGUCUAAAACUGACAAAGCAGCUGGGAGGAAAAACGUACUGGUUGCAGUUUCCCCAGAUUUUCUUUCAUCUAGCUCUGAGGAAUUCUUUUUCAGAGUAUACACAACACAAUCCAAAAAGAGGGGCUUUUUUGAAUGAAACAUGUUCUGUCUUAAGCAAGUUCUAAAGUGAUCCAAAUGUGAAGCUUUAGAAUCUGAUGAUACCUACUCCAUGGAGGCCUGACAGUAAGUCAUGUAAUACAUCGAUGAUUUUAUGGGUUUCUCUGUUAGUAAUUCCAGAUGGUGUGUCUGUGCUCUGGCUGUACACUCUACCUAAAUCAUCUCACUCAUAAUCAACAGAUAUCCAGAAGCACUUUAAUUGGAAACACUUAAUUUUACCAGUUAUUUGUAACUUUUAAUACAAUCUCAUUUAAGAACAUGGAGUCCCUUGCUUUUCAUAAUACUGAGCUCUUUUUCUGGAGAGCAGGUUUUGGAUGGAUAUGUGCUGCUUGAAUCAAUGUUGUUUUCUGAGAAUUUGUGUGUUCCAUAUAUUUGUG
Molecule: long non-coding RNA, 651 nt
Filed under: Homo sapiens (human)
Lineage: Eukaryota; Metazoa; Chordata; Mammalia; Primates; Hominidae
Description: HSALNT0092348
Source: RNAcentral